GCGCCCAUCGUCUAGCGGUCCAGGACGUCGCCCUUUCACGGCGAAAACAGGGGUUCGAUUCCCCUUGGGCGCG
Transfer RNA from Afipia sp. P52-10, 73 nucleotides. It matches the Rfam family "tRNA". Rfam says of the family: Transfer RNA (tRNA) molecules are approximately 80 nucleotides in length. Their secondary structure includes four short double-helical elements and three loops (D, anti-codon, and T loops). Further hydrogen bonds mediate the characteristic L-shaped molecular structure. tRNAs have two regions of fundamental functional importance: the anti-codon, which is responsible for specific mRNA codon recognition, and the 3' end, to which the tRNAs corresponding amino acid is attached (by aminoacyl-tRNA synthetases). tRNAs cope with the degeneracy of the genetic code in two manners: having more than one tRNA (with a specific anti-codon) for a particular amino acid; and 'wobble' base-pairing, i.e. permitting non-standard base-pairing at the 3rd anti-codon position. The record is from Rfam. Lineage: Bacteria; Pseudomonadati; Pseudomonadota; Alphaproteobacteria; Hyphomicrobiales; Nitrobacteraceae.